Peromyscus maniculatus bairdii (prairie deer mouse) is the source of this 989-nucleotide non-coding RNA. NCBI's taxonomy places the organism in Eukaryota, Metazoa, Chordata, Mammalia, Rodentia, Cricetidae. The record is from RefSeq and is a predicted model, not a curated record.
GCUGAGAGUGGACAUUCUCCAUCACUCCAAAUGCCCUGCGAGCCCAGGGUCCGACUCUCUGGGACGGCGAGGGUGUCUAGAACUGUCUUCUCCGCCUCCUUCCUUUCCUCCGACAGAACCCAAAACAUCCGUAGAAAAGGUGGAUUUCCGAUCUGGCUCAGGAUCCAUUGCCUUCUGGGUCCCAGGCACAAGAGGGCAAGGAUGUGAGAAGUCGGAGAUGGCCAGGACAGAACCAUGAAGCCAUCACAAAACUUGUGGACGGCCGGGCAGCGGUGGUGGCGCACGCCUUUAAUCCCAGCACUCGGGAGGCAGAGGACAGGGUCCAUCAUCGCGUCAUUGAGGGAAGGCUGGAAGUGACGAAGAGACCUCAGAAGAAUGCGGAGUACUGGCUUACACCCUGGGCUUGCUCAGUCUUCUAUAACCAAAGACCACCAGCCGGGGUGGCCCCGCCCACAACGGGCGGGGCCCUCACAUGUCAAUCUUUAAUCAAGACAAUGCCCUGCAGACCCGCCUACAAGCCCACCUGACAGAGGCAACUCCUCAGUUAAGUCCCUUCCUCCCACCUGGCUCUAGUUCACGUCAAGUUGACAAAAUCCAGGCUAGCAGGGCCGGCAGGGGGUUCCCUGAGGUUUCGGGGUACCCAGGACUCUCUGCUUUCAAGGUACCUCUCCUUUCUCACUGUAUCAGAAUGACUCAGACCAAAGUGGCCCAGACCCAGAACAUUCCAGGACCGAGCAGUGGGUGACCCGUGGGUGAAGAACUGAACAGGACGAAAAGUCACCAGACAUCUGAGGAAGAGAAUGUCAACAGACUGGGCGACAUGUGCCACCUCCAGGAGGAGUCAGAGCAGGCAGACCCAGCGUCAAAUAGGGACAGCAGAGAUACUUAGUGAAACGAGGGGGGAGGGAACAUACAUAAGAGCCAAAAUCAAAAAGAACUAGACAUGCACGUGAAAUACAUAAGCUAGGACAUUGAAAAAAUAAUGAAAA